RNAcentral lists this ribosomal RNA (468 nucleotides) under uncultured bacterium. RNAcentral's name for it is "partial 16S ribosomal RNA". It matches the Rfam family "Bacterial small subunit ribosomal RNA", at positions 28 to 507 of the family's 1533-position model. The record is from RNAcentral.
GACGAACGCUGGCGGCGUGCUUAACACAUGCAAGUCGAACGGAAAGGCCCUGCUUUUGUGGGGUGCUCGAGUGGCGAACGGGUGAGUAACACGUGAGUAACCUGCCCUUGACUUUGGGAUAACUUCAGGAAACUGGGGCUAAUACCGGAUAGGAGCUCCUGCUGCAUGGUGGGGGUUGGAAAGUUUCGGCGGUUGGGGAUGGACUCGCGGCUUAUCAGCUUGUUGGUGGGGUAGUGGCUUACCAAGGCUUUGACGGGUAGCCGGCCUGAGAGGGUGACCGGGCACAAUGGGACUGAGGUACGGCCCAGGAUCCCACGGGGGGGAAGAGUGGGGAAUAUUGCACAAUGGGCGGAAGCCUGAUGCAGGAACGCCGGGGGCGGGAUGACGGGCUUUCGGUUGGAAACCGCCUUCGGCUGGUACCAAGCGUGAGGUACGGUAAUUGGUAAAGAAGCCCCGGCUAACUACGUU